This 86-nucleotide transfer RNA is filed under the name Felis catus (domestic cat). It matches the Rfam family "tRNA". Rfam says of the family: Transfer RNA (tRNA) molecules are approximately 80 nucleotides in length. Their secondary structure includes four short double-helical elements and three loops (D, anti-codon, and T loops). Further hydrogen bonds mediate the characteristic L-shaped molecular structure. tRNAs have two regions of fundamental functional importance: the anti-codon, which is responsible for specific mRNA codon recognition, and the 3' end, to which the tRNAs corresponding amino acid is attached (by aminoacyl-tRNA synthetases). tRNAs cope with the degeneracy of the genetic code in two manners: having more than one tRNA (with a specific anti-codon) for a particular amino acid; and 'wobble' base-pairing, i.e. permitting non-standard base-pairing at the 3rd anti-codon position. The record is from Rfam by way of RNAcentral. Lineage: Eukaryota; Metazoa; Chordata; Mammalia; Carnivora; Felidae.
ACCUGGGUGGCUCAGUCGGUUGAGCGCCUGACUUUGGCUCAAGUCAUGAUCUCACAGCUUUGUGGGUUCGAGCCCCACAUCAGGCU